Molecule: long non-coding RNA, 371 nt
Filed under: Strongylocentrotus purpuratus (purple sea urchin)
Lineage: Eukaryota; Metazoa; Echinodermata; Echinoidea; Camarodonta; Strongylocentrotidae
Description: uncharacterized LOC115924449, transcript variant X2
Source: RNAcentral
GCUAAGCGGCCUUGUGGAGUGAUCUUCUUACUAGUAACAUUUGCACACCAAUAAUAAAACAAAGGUUGCAAAAUAAAGAGCUAUGGCAUCUGCAUGUACUGCUAGUUCAUGACAAAUGAACAUUUAUUGUCCAUCUCUUCAAAUUGAAAAGACUGCAGAGCCUGAAUUACCUGCAACGUUAUGCUUCUUAUGAAACAUCAGCCAGCCUACAGAUAGAAGCUCCCUUUUCCAGCUUUAAGCAAGAGGAACCACAAUGAGAUACAGAUCUUGGUAUCGUGGACUGGUCACUUUUUACAACCAACACUACUUGUAAAAUAAGAUUUACAAAUUAAUUCCUAUAAGCUAUUAAAAAUGCUCUAGUCAAGGUACUA